UUGAUUUUAUAGAAUUUAUUUAUUAAUUUUAUUUUUUAUUAAUAUAAUUUAUUAAAAAUAAUUAUAUAAUUUUAAUGUUUAAGUAAUUUUUAAUGAAAAAAUAAUUUUUAUGAUAGUUAAAUAUGUAUUGUGAAAGAAUGUUGAAAUAUUUUGAAAAAUUUUUAUUAAAAAAGAAAAUUUUUUUUAUUGUACCUUGUGUAUCAGGGUUUAUUAAAUAAUUAAUAUUUAUUUAUUAAUCUCGAUUUUAUAAGAGUUAAUAAUUUAUAAAAUUUAAUGUAUUAAAAUUUUUUUUAAUAAAUUAUUAGAAAUGAAAUGUUAUUCGUUUAUAAAGGUAUCUAGUUUUUUUAGAAAUAAAUUUAAUUUACAAUUUUUUAAUUUUUUAUUUGUUUUUUAAAAUGAAAAAAUUAUUUAAUUGAAUAUUUUAAGGGAUAAGCUUUAAAAUAAAUUGUUAAAAAUUAAUAAUUAUUUUAUAAAAUGUAUGUGUAGAAUUAGCAAUCAUUUAUGAGUUUGUUAUAAAUUAUUUUAUUUAGUUUACAUUAUUUAUUAAUAUUUUAAAUAUUUAUAAAAAUUUUUUUUAUAAUAUAAUUAUGAAAAGUAAUAAUGAUAAAAUUAGUAUAUUUUAUUGUUUAUAUAAUUUCAUUAUGAUAAGUUUAUAUAAAGAAUUCGGCAAAAAUUUUAUACUCGCCUGUUUAACAAAAACAUGUCUUUUUGAGUUAUUUUUAAAGUCUAACCUGCCCACUGAAUUUUAUUAAAUGGCCGCAGUAUUUUAACUGUGCAAAGGUAGCAUAAUCAUUAGUCUUUUAAUUGAAGGCUGGAAUGAACGGUUGGACGAAGUAUAANCUGUUUCAUAUAAAUUUAUAAUAGAAUUUUAUAUUUUAGUUAAAAAGCUAAAAUUUUAUUAAAAGACGAGAAGACCCUAUAAAUCUUUAUAUUUUAUACUAAUUAAAUUUUAUUGAAGAUUUUUAUUUUUGUAGUAUAAAAUAUUUUGUUGGGGUGAUAUUAAAAUUUGAUUAACUUUUAAUUAAAUUAAAUCAUUAAUUUAUGAUUAAUUGAUCCAUUAAUAGUGAUUAUAAGAUUAAGUUACUUUAGGGAUAACAGCGUAAUUUUUUUGGAGAGUUCUUAUCGAUAAAAAAGUUUGCGACCUCGAUGUUGGAUUAAGAGAUAUUUUUAGGUGUAGCCGCUUAAAUAUAAAGUCUGUUCGACU
This 1204-nucleotide ribosomal RNA is filed under the name Acidiella sapporensis. Its description in RNAcentral is "partial 16S ribosomal RNA". The record is from RNAcentral. Lineage: Eukaryota; Metazoa; Arthropoda; Insecta; Diptera; Tephritidae.